GGGGAUAUGGUGGAAUCGGUAGACACGCUAGCUUCAGGUGCUAGUGGUAGCAAUACUGUGAGAGUUCGAGUCUCUCUAUCCCCA
This 84-nucleotide transfer RNA is filed under the name Candidatus Moraniibacteriota bacterium. RNAcentral describes it as "tRNA-Leu". It matches the Rfam family "tRNA". From Rfam's summary of the family: Transfer RNA (tRNA) molecules are approximately 80 nucleotides in length. Their secondary structure includes four short double-helical elements and three loops (D, anti-codon, and T loops). The record is from RNAcentral. Lineage: Bacteria; Candidatus Moraniibacteriota.